ACUGGAAGGACAGGUCCUGGCACCGAGCUGUGCCCAGGCUGAUGUUUACCACAAACAAUUCCUGGAAAUCCCAAACCUGGUGUUUCAGAGGACGAGGUAUUCAAGGAAAAGCUGUGCUGAAGCUGCUAGCUUCCAAAAAAGCUCUGUUGAGAAGGUGCUGACAAUAAAAGGAUUUUGGGAGAACCAGAACUUGAAGCUGAUAAGUGUUAAAAUGAGUCAGAGGAGAAAAAAGAACAGAUGCACGAUGAAGGCCACCAGAAGCAUCUUGUAAGAGAAAGAAAGUGGUAAGAAUUUUCACCUUUAUCUCUUGGGAAGGCAAAGAGAGGACUGGUAUGAAACCCACCCUGGAGCAAGGAAAACCAACCAAAAAAAAAAAAAAGAAAUCCCUUUCACUGGCAUGGAACCAACAAGCAAAAGGAUGGAAAAAAAAAGAAUGUAUAUGAUCAGCUGAUGCACAAAAAAGUCUGAGCUCAGAUUGGUGCACAGGAUGGCCACAGGAUAUAUAAAAACCUCUUUUUCUUCUGAUUUUCAAUACUCAUAACCUUGCUUCCACUUCCUGUCACAGCCAAGACAAUCGUGGUCUACCUGCAGCUGGGCUAUGCUUUCAAAAUUGAAACUGCAAACUUUCAAGAAAAGGUAAUUAAAAGCCCUCCAACCAAAAUAGGAAAUGUAGAGAGUGAAAAAUCUUUAUGGUGCCAGAAUCAUCAUUCAAAGCCAGUUCCCAAAGUAGCAAGAAUAGCAUUAAAUGUAUAUCUAUAUAUCUUUUUAACCUUUAUACAGACAGCAGGAGCACUGCAGGCUGCAUUUGCAUUUCAUAGCAGGAAACAAAACCAUCCCACAAAGAUUGGAUAAAUCAUCAGAGGAACAAGGAAGUGCCCUCACACAUGCACAUGUUUUUCUGAAAUCACAGAGAAUGAGGAUAAGAGACACACAACCCAAUCUCCAUCUCAAAGGUUCAUUAACUGAGCCCAAGCCUGACUACCUCAAGAGCACUCUAACUGAAAUUUGAAAUAUGGAUUUGUUUCCAACAGCUCUUCUCUCUUUAUUUUUUAUUAUUAUUUUUGGACAAUUGGCUGACCUAGUUUUCAAAUCAUACGACUUUUUUAAGACAAUGCUUGCCAUAGAGGCACAGUAGUUAUGCAGAUUUACUUCCAGGGGUGUUUUGAUUCCAGGGAGGAGGAAGAGUCUGCCAUUCCUGCAAAGCACAUUGUGUAAGGUGAUUGCUCAUUCUGGUUCAGCUUUGUUGACUUCUGUGAAGGUAUAGCAGAUACAGGUAUGGGCAAGUCAGGUUUUUAAACUGAAACCAAAUGAAAAAUUUCUGUGGAAAGCUUAUUUUACAGAAGAACCAAUUUCUACAAGAGACACAUACACCAAAAAAUUCUCAUGUUAAAAUUUUAAUUCUAAUUUUAAAAGUAGGGUUU
Serinus canaria (Common canary) is the source of this 1421-nucleotide long non-coding RNA. RefSeq lists it as uncharacterized. The record is from RefSeq and is a predicted model, not a curated record. The transcript is spliced from 3 exons. Lineage: Eukaryota; Metazoa; Chordata; Aves; Passeriformes; Fringillidae.